Molecule: non-coding RNA, 1604 nt
Organism: Lolium perenne
Lineage: Eukaryota; Viridiplantae; Streptophyta; Magnoliopsida; Poales; Poaceae
Source: RefSeq, a predicted model, not a curated record
ACGGUCCCCGGGCGCCAGCCUCACAGUCAGCCACACCGGCGCUGUCGGCGGGCAUCUCACCUCACUCUCCACCAUUUAUCACCCCGUGCUCGCUUCCAAGCCAAGCCGCGCUCGACGCCAACCACCGCCAGCUCCACCACUCCCACACUCCAACACUACCUCGCCCGCCGCUUCCCCGCCCGUCUCCACUUCCCUCCGCAGCCGCUAUAACUACAGCCCGCGAGCCGCGAACCGCGAGCAGAGCGAGAGGGAGUAAUCCUAGCCGUCGCGUGUGCCGCCACCCAAGACGUGCGCGAGCGAGAGGAGCAAGAUGGCGAGCGGCAGCGGCGAGGAGAAGGUGGCGAGCGGCAGCGGCGGAGAGGGGAAGGUGGCGAGCGGCAGCGGCGUGGGGAAGGUGGCGAGCGGCAGCGGCGAGGGGAAGGCGGACCCCGCGGGCGCCCUGUACCUGCAGUACGCCGCGUCGUACGGCACCGGGGUGUACGACGACCGCCAGUGGUGGCCGUGGCUCGUGCCCACCUUGCUCGGCGCGUGCGUCGCGGUGUUCGCCGUCGAGAUGUACGAGAACGACUGCCCCAGCCACGGGAGCACCCUGGGCGGCCGCGCCACCUGCGUCGCCGGGUUCCUCCGCCGGUUCUCCUUCCAGCCGCUGCGCGAGAACCCGCUCCUCGGCCCGUCCUCCGCCACUUUGGAGAAGAUGGGAGCUCUUAACUGGGCCAAAGUUGCUUAUCAACACCAAGGAUGGCGCCUAAUCAGCUGUAUGUGGCUCCACGCUGGUCUAAUCCACUUGGUUAUCAACAUGCUGAGCUUGCUGUUCAUCGGAAUCCGCCUUGAACAGCAAUUUGGCUAUGUCCGCAUUGGGAUCAUCUACCUGCUGUCUGGCUUUGGAGGCAGUGUGCUGUCUGCACUGUUCUUACGUAACCACAACAUCUCUGUUGGUGCCUCUGGAGCCCUGUUUGGCCUACUUGGCUCUAUGCUCUCGGAGAUAUUUAUGAACUGGACUAUUUAUUCCAACAAGGCAGCAGCCAUCAUAACUCUUCUGUCUAUAAUUGUGAUCAAUUUGGCGAUCGGGAUACUGCCGCACGCCGAUAAUUUUGCCCACAUUGGUGGAUUCGUAACUGGAUUCCUUCUCGGGUUUGUGCUGCUGGCAAGGCCUCAGUUUGGUUGGAUGGAACGUAAUGGGUUGCCAGAGACUAAUCAACCUCCAAAGUACAGAAGGUACCAGUAUGUUCUGUGGGGCGCGGCACUGCUCUUGCUCCUAGUUGGGUACGCUGUCUCCCUGGCGAUGCUUUUCAAGGGCAAGAACGGCAACGAUGGAUGCCACUGGUGCCGGUACCUGAACUGCUUACCGACAUCCAGAUGGAAGUGCACUUAGACGGUUCAGUUCCACCCAUUUGGUCUUUCUCCGAAAUACUCCAUACAUGAAUCCUCUGGGAUCCUCUCUCUUUAUGUUUGUGUGUUUAUAGACCUGCAUCAGACUUGUGCUUUACAGAGCCGAAUACCUUCUGUAUCUAUGAAGUAAAACCAUGCGCGAUGAGCCGAUGAUGUAAUUUGAACUUGUACCUGUUUGCGGUUUCCUCGCAAGGCAAUUAAAUGGUGUAAUUGUA